AAGGUCUCCGUUGGUGAACCAGCGGAGGGAUCAUUACCGAGUUAUUCAACUCCCAAACCCCCUGUGAACCUUACCACACACGUUGCCUCGGCGGGACCGCCCCGGCGCCCUCGCGGCCCGGACCAAGGCGCCCGCCGGAGGACCACCAGACUCUCCUGUCGCAGUGGCAUUUCUCUCCGAGUCAAACAAGCAAAAUGAAUCAAAACUUUCAACAACGGAUCUCUUGGUUCUGGCAUCGAUGAAGAACGCAGCGAAAUGCGAUAAGUAAUGUGAAUUGCAGAAUUCAGUGAAUCAUCGAAUCUUUGAACGCACAUUGCGCCCGCCAGUACUCUGGCGGGCAUGCCUGUCCGAGCGUCAUUUCAACCCUCGAGCCCGUCUCGGUGUUGGGGGCCCCACGGCCGCGAGGCCGCCCCCGAAAUGCAUUGGCGACCCCGCCGCGGCCUCCCCUGCGCAGUAGCUCCCAGAGAACCUCGCACCGGAAACGCGGAGGCGGUCACGCCGUAAAACAACUCUCCUCCUGGAAGUUGACCUCGGAUCAGGUAGGGAUACCCGCUGAACUUAAG
RNAcentral lists this ribosomal RNA (563 nucleotides) under Hirsutella rhossiliensis. RNAcentral's name for it is "eukaryotic LSU rRNA". The stretch from base 204 to 357 matches the Rfam family "5.8S ribosomal RNA". Lineage: Eukaryota; Fungi; Ascomycota; Sordariomycetes; Hypocreales; Ophiocordycipitaceae. The record is from RNAcentral.